AGCCAUGCCACCCUGAGUGUACCUGAGCUCGUCAGAUCUCAGAAGCUGAACAGGGCUGAACCUGGUAGGUGCU
This 73-nucleotide ribosomal RNA is filed under the name Octodon degus (degu). The record is from RNAcentral. Lineage: Eukaryota; Metazoa; Chordata; Mammalia; Rodentia; Octodontidae.